UAACUUAGAAAUCAUUUUGAUGGUGAAUUGUAAAUUCACAUUAGAUAUUAG
This 51-nucleotide transfer RNA is filed under the name Trichonephila clavipes. RNAcentral's name for it is "tRNA-Tyr". The record is from RNAcentral. Lineage: Eukaryota; Metazoa; Arthropoda; Arachnida; Araneae; Nephilidae.